GGGUUGUGAGGUUAAGCGACUAAGCGUACACGGUGGAUGCCCUGGCAGUCAGAGGCGAUGAAGGACGUGCUAAUCUGCGAAAAGCGUCGGUAAGGUGAUAUGAACCGUUACAGCCGGCGAUGUCCGAAUGGGGAAACCCAGUGCAAUUCGUUGCACUAUCGUUAACUGAAUACAUAGGUUAACGAGGCGAACCGGGGGAACUGAAACAUCUAAGUACCCCGAGGAAAAGAAAUCAACCGAGAUUCCCCCAGUAGCGGCGAGCGAACGGGGAGCAGCCCAGAGUCUGAAUCAGCUUGUGUGUUAGUGGAACGGUCUGGAAAGUCCGACGGUACAGGGUGAUAGUCCCGUACACCAAAAUGCACAGGCUGUGAACUCGAAGAGUAGGGCGGGACACGUGGUAUCCUGUCUGAAUAUGGGGGGACCAUCCUCCAAGGCUAAAUACUCCUGACUGACCGAUAGUGAACCAGUACCGUGAGGGAAAGGCGAAAAGAACCCCGGCGAGGGGAGUGAAAAAGAACCUGAAACCGUGUACGUACAAGCAGUGGGAGCACCUUCGGGUGUGACUGCGUACCUUUUGUAUAAUGGGUCAGCGACUUAUAUUCUGUAGCAAGGUUAACCGUAUAGGGGAGCCGCAGGGAAACCGAGUCUUAACUGGGCGUUAAGUUGCAGGGUAUAGACCCGAAACCCGGUGAUCUAGCCAUGGGCAGGUUGAAGGUUGGGUAACACUAACUGGAGGACCGAACCGACUAAUGUUGAAAAAUUAGCGGAUGACUUGUGGCUGGGGGUGAAAGGCCAAUCAAACCGGGAGAUAGCUGGUUCUCCCCGAAAGCUAUUUAGGUAGCGCCUCGUGAACUCAUCUUCGGGGGUAGAGCACUGUUUCGGCUAGGGGGUCAUCCCGACUUACCAACCCGAUGCAAACUACGAAUACCGAAGAAUGUUAUCACGGGAGACACACGGCGGGUGCUAACGUCCGUCGUGAAGAGGGAAACAACCCAGACCGCCAGCUAAGGUCCCAAAGUCACAGUUAAGUGGGAAACGAUGUGGGAAGGCACAGACAGCCAGGAUGUUGGCUUAGAAGCAGCCAUCAUUUAAAGAAAGCGUAAUAGCUCACUGGUCGAGUCGGCCUGCGCGGAAGAUGUAACGGGGCUAAACUGUGCACCGAAGCUGCGGCAGCGACACUUAGGUGUUGUUGGGUAGGGGAGCGUUCUGUAAGCCUGCGAAGGUGGCCUGUGAGGGUUGCUGGAGGUAUCAGAAGUGCGAAUGCUGACAUAAGUAACGAUAAUGCGGGUGAAAAGCCCGCACGCCGGAAGACCAAGGGUUCCUGUCCAACGUUAAUCGGGGCAGGGUGAGUCGACCCCUAAGGCGAGGCCGAAAGGCGUAGUCGAUGGGAAACAGGUUAAUAUUCCUGUACUUGGUGUUACUGCGAAGGGGGGACGGAGAAGGCUAUGUUAGCCGGGCGACGGUUGUCCCGGUUUAAGCAUGUAGGCGGAGGUUCCAGGUAAAUCCGGUACCUUAUUAACGCUGAGGUGUGAUGACGAGGCACUACGGUGCUGAAGUAACAAAUGCCCUGCUUCCAGGAAAAGCCUCUAAGCAUCAGGUAACAUUGAAUCGUACCCCAAACCGACACAGGUGGUCAGGUAGAGAAUACCAAGGCGCUUGAGAGAACUCGGGUGAAGGAACUAGGCAAAAUGGUGCCGUAACUUCGGGAGAAGGCACGCUGAUAUGUAGGUGAAGCCCCUGCGGGUGGAGCUGAAAUCAGUCGAAGAUACCAGCUGGCUGCAACUGUUUAUUAAAAACACAGCACUGUGCAAACACGAAAGUGGACGUAUACGGUGUGACGCCUGCCCGGUGCCGGAAGGUUAAUUGAUGGGGUUAUCCGUAAGGAGAAGCUCUUGAUCGAAGCCCCGGUAAACGGCGGCCGUAACUAUAACGGUCCUAAGGUAGCGAAAUUCCUUGUCGGGUAAGUUCCGACCUGCACGAAUGGCGUAAUGAUGGCCAGGCUGUCUCCACCCGAGACUCAGUGAAAUUGAACUCGCUGUGAAGAUGCAGUGUACCCGCGGCAAGACGGAAAGACCCCGUGAACCUUUACUAUAGCUUGACACUGAACAUUGAGCCUUGAUGUGUAGGAUAGGUGGGAGGCUUUGAAGCGUGGACGCCAGUCUGCGUGGAGCCAACCUUGAAAUACCACCCUUUAAUGUUUGAUGUUCUAACGUUGGCCCCUUAUCGGGGUUGCGGACAGUGUCUGGUGGGUAGUUUGACUGGGGCGGUCUCCUCCCAAAGAGUAACGGAGGAGCACGAAGGUUAGCUAAUCCUGGUCGGACAUCAGGAGGUUAGUGCAAUGGCAUAAGCUAGCUUGACUGCGAGCGUGACGGCGCGAGCAGGUGCGAAAGCAGGUCAUAGUGAUCCGGUGGUUCUGAAUGGAAGGGCCAUCGCUCAACGGAUAAAAGGUACUCCGGGGAUAACAGGCUGAUACCGCCCAAGAGUUCAUAUCGACGGCGGUGUUUGGCACCUCGAUGUCGGCUCAUCACAUCCUGGGGCUGAAGUAGGUCCCAAGGGUAUGGCUGUUCGCCAUUUAAAGUGGUACGCGAGCUGGGUUUAGAACGUCGUGAGACAGUUCGGUCCCUAUCUGCCGUGGGCGCUGGAGAAUUGAGGGGGGCUGCUCCUAGUACGAGAGGACCGGAGUGGACGCAUCACUGGUGUUCGGGUUGUCAUGCCAAUGGCAUUGCCCGGUAGCUAAAUGCGGAAGAGAUAAGUGCUGAAAGCAUCUAAGCACGAAACUUGCCCCGAGAUGAGUUCUCCCUGACUCCUUGAGAGUCCUGAAGGAACGUUAAAGACGAUGACGUUGAUAGGUCGGGUGUGUAAGCGUAGCGAUACGUUGAGCUAACCGAUACUAAUGAACCGUGAGGCUUAACCUUACAACGCCGAAGCUGUU
This 2932-nucleotide ribosomal RNA is filed under the name Klebsiella aerogenes. RNAcentral's name for it is "23S ribosomal RNA". It matches the Rfam family "Bacterial large subunit ribosomal RNA". The record is from RNAcentral. Lineage: Bacteria; Pseudomonadati; Pseudomonadota; Gammaproteobacteria; Enterobacterales; Enterobacteriaceae.